AAUGAACGCUGGCGGUGUGCCUAAUACAUGCAAGUCGAACGGACAGACGAUGAGCUUGCUCCCCUGCCGUUGGCGACGGACGGGUGAGUGACACGUGGAUAACCUACUUCUUAGUCUUGGAUAACUACGUGAAACAGGAUCUACUACCGGAUCAUAUAUUGUACCGCAUGGUUCAAUAGUUCAUGAGGGUUUUGCCGACACUUAUAGCCGGUUCCGCGUUGAAUUAGCUAGUUGGUAAGGUAACGGCUUACCAAGGCGACGAUGCGUAGCCGGCCUGAGAGGGUGAUCAGCCACACUGGAACUGAGACACGGUCCAGACUCCUACGGGAGGCAGCAGUGGGGAAUCUUCGACAAUGGGCGAAAGCCUGACGGAGCAACGCCGCGUGAGUGAUGAAGGUCUUCGGAUUGUAAAACUCUGUUAUUGGGAAAGAACAAAUGUAUAAGUAACUAUGGACGUCUUGACGGUACCUAAAGAAGAAGCCCCGGCUAACUACGUG
Molecule: ribosomal RNA, 497 nt
Filed under: uncultured bacterium
Lineage: Bacteria
Description: partial 16S ribosomal RNA
Rfam family: Bacterial small subunit ribosomal RNA
Source: RNAcentral